UGAAGGCCUUCGGGUUGUAAACCACUGUCMGAGGGGAAGAAAUGCAUGUGGGUUCUCCCAUGUGUUUGACUGAUCCUCAGAGGAAGUACGGGCUAAGUUCGUGCCRGCAGCCGCGGUAACACGAACCGUACGAACGUUAUUCGGAAUCACUGGGCUUAAAGAGUGCGUAGGCGGCUUGGAAAGUUGGGUGUGAAAUCCCUCGGCUCAACCGAGGAACUGCGCCCAAAACUGUCAGGCUUGAGGGAGAUAGAGGUGAGCGGAACUAAUGGUGGAGCGGUGAAAUGCGUUGAUAUCAUUAGGAACACCGGUGGCGAAAGCGGCUCACUGGGUCUCUUCUGACGCUGAGGCACGAAAGCUAGGGGAGCGAACGGGAUUAGAUACCCCGGUAGUCCUGGCUGUAAACGAUGAGCACUUGGUGUAGCGGGUAUCGACCCCUGCUGUGCCGAAGCUAACGCAUUAAGUGCUCCGCCUGGGGAGUACGGKCGCAAGGCUGAAACUCAAARGAAUUGACGGGGGCCCGCACAAKCGGUGGAGCAUGUGGUUUAAUUCGACGCAACGCGAAGAACCUUACCUGGGUUUGAACCGCCGAGGACCGCUGCAGAGAUGUAGCUUCCCUUCGGGGCUUCGGUAGAGGUGCUGCAUGGCUGUCGUCAGCUCGUGUCGYGAGAUGUUGGGUUAAGUCCCGCAACGAGCGCAACYCUUGCCCUCUGUUGCCACCAG
RNAcentral lists this ribosomal RNA (720 nucleotides) under uncultured bacterium. RNAcentral describes it as "bacterial SSU rRNA". It matches the Rfam family "Bacterial small subunit ribosomal RNA", at positions 409 to 1124 of the family's 1533-position model. The record is from RNAcentral.